RNAcentral lists this ribosomal RNA (1032 nucleotides) under Triticum aestivum (bread wheat). RNAcentral's name for it is "partial small subunit ribosomal RNA". Lineage: Eukaryota; Viridiplantae; Streptophyta; Magnoliopsida; Poales; Poaceae. The record is from RNAcentral.
GAAAAAUCGUACCUGGAGGGAAGAGAAGGGAAGAAAGAGAAGGGAGCGGGCGCUCCGGGCGCUCCGUCAGUCGCCCGGCUACAACGCCAAAACCAAAGAACAGCCGCCCGCUUGCAGCCUGAGGCGGGCGCCAGAGCUGGCGAUUCCGAUCCGGUGCGCCUCCCGCGCUUCUUCCUCUCCCUGCGCGCCAAUUCUUCCCAUGCCUAGCCCCAAAUCGCUUCCUGCACGCCACAAAUCGAAGCCUCAAAGCCUCCAAAUCACCCAUAAAUCAGUCCAUCCCCAACCCUAGAACUACCGGCGGCGUCAAAUCAAGCAAGCAGGUGGGCGUCGACGCCACAUCUUGUCCAGCCGGCGCCUCAACCCGUCUCACCGGCGACGCCUCGUCUCAUCCCGCCGGCGCCGCAUCCCGUCCUGCGACGGCCUCAUCCCGCUGGCGGCCUCCUCUGCACCGGACAUGUUUGCUCACGAGGCUGCAGCAACGAGUGUAGCAGGUACUUCGGGUCAAGGCCGUUGCUGGGCGCCGCCUGCUACAUCUGCUUGGCUACACGACUGAGAAUAUUGACGACUCCGAUCCGCAAGCAUGGUAUGCAUCUAGGUUAACAUAGUUAAUCAGAAUCUGAUGCUUGUAGCUACACUCGUGUCCCUACUUAUCUCAACUCUGAAAAAUCAGAUGCUUUUGAGGCGUCUUUUCUCUGUACGGUGUGGAGCUGCUGUGCUUUGUAUCAUAUAUGCUCCAUAUAUGACAUUUUUUUAACCCUGAAUUUGUAUCAUAUAUGGCUCCAUAUGUGACAUGCUCUGUAAUCUGUAUGAUGUGAAGUUGCUGUGCUUUGUUUCAUAUAUGGCUCCAUAUAUGCCAUGCUUUUUUAGGCUGAAUUUCUAUCAUAUAUGGCUCCAUAUAUGCCAUGCUCUUUUAGGCUGAAUCUGUAUCAUAUAUGGCUCCAUAUAUGACAUGCUCUAUAUAUCUGAUGCUUGUAGCUACACUAGUGCCCCUACUUAUCUCAACUCUGCUCUUUUAGGCUGCAUUGUCCUUUC